AGGGAAUCUUCCGCAAUGGACGCAAGUCUGACGGAGCAACGCCGCGUGAGCGAAGAAGGUUUUCGGAUCGUAAAGCUCUGUUGCCGGAGAAGAACGGACGCCGGAGGAAAUGCCGGAGUCGUGACGGUAACCGGCCAGAAAGCCACGGCUAACUACGUGCCAGCAGCCGCGGUAAUACGUAGGUGGCAAGCGUUGUCCGGAAUUAUUGGGCGUAAAGCGCGCGCAGGCGGCUCUUUAAGUCUGAUGUGAAAGGUUGCGGCUUAACCGCAAAAGGUCAUUGGAAACUGGGGAGCUUGAGUGCAGAAGAGGAGAGUAGAAUUCCACGUGUAGCGGUGAAAUGCGUAGAGAUGUGGAGGAAUACCGGUGGCGAAAGCGGCUCUCUGGUCUGUCACUGACGCUGAGGUGCGAAAGCGUGGGGAGCGAAC
This 425-nucleotide ribosomal RNA is filed under the name uncultured bacterium. RNAcentral's name for it is "bacterial SSU rRNA". It matches the Rfam family "Bacterial small subunit ribosomal RNA", at positions 356 to 773 of the family's 1533-position model. The record is from RNAcentral.